UUACGGCGAUAUCACGUUGAAACAUCGCUUCCUGUACGCUCACUGAAGUUAAGCAACAUCGAGCCUGGUCAGUAUCUAGAUGGGUGACCGCUUGGGAAUACCAAUGCUGUAA
Acanthosepion pharaonis is the source of this 112-nucleotide non-coding RNA. Lineage: Eukaryota; Metazoa; Mollusca; Cephalopoda; Sepiida; Sepiidae. The record is from the annotation of a GenBank genome assembly.